Molecule: ribosomal RNA, 440 nt
Filed under: uncultured bacterium
Lineage: Bacteria
Description: bacterial SSU rRNA
Rfam family: Bacterial small subunit ribosomal RNA
Source: RNAcentral
UACGGAAGGCAGCAGUGGGGAAUAUUGCACAAUGGGCGCAAGCCUGAUGCAGCCAUGCCGCGUGUAUGAAGAAGGCCUUCGGGUUGUAAAGUACUUUCAGUCGUGAGGAAGGUGUUAAGGUUAAUAACCUUAGCAAUUGACGUUAGCGACAGAAGAAGCACCGGCUAACUCCGUGCCAGCAGCCGCGGUAAUACGGAGGGUGCGAGCGUUAAUCGGAAUUACUGGGCGUAAAGGGCACGCAGGCGGUUAAUUAAGUUGGAUGUGAAAUCCCCGGGCUUAACCUGGGAAUGGCAUUCAAGACUGGUUAGCUAGAGUCUUGUAGAGGGGGUUAGAAUUCCAUGUGUAGCGGUGAAAUGCGUAGAGAUGUGGAGGAAUACCGGUGGCGAAGGCGGCCCCUGGACAAAGGACUGACGCUCAUGUGCGAAAGCGUGGGGAGCAAA